This 883-nucleotide ribosomal RNA is filed under the name uncultured Bacillota bacterium. RNAcentral's name for it is "bacterial SSU rRNA". It matches the Rfam family "Bacterial small subunit ribosomal RNA", at positions 58 to 952 of the family's 1533-position model. Lineage: Bacteria; Bacillati; Bacillota. The record is from RNAcentral.
CAAGUCGAACGAUUAAGACUUCCUUCGGGAAGUGCAUAAAGUGGCGCACGGGUGAGUAACACGUAAGUAAUCUACCUUCGAGUGGGGAAUAACGUCCGGAAACGGACGCUAAUACCGCAUAAUGCAGCGGCAUCGUAAGAUGACAGUUGUUAAAGGAGCAAUUCGCUUGAAGAGGAGCUUGCGGCAGAUUAGCUAGUUGGUAAGGUAAUGGCUUACCAAGGCUACGAUCUGUAACCGGUCUAAGAGGACGGUCGGUCACACUGACACUGAAUAACGGGUCAGACUCCUACGGGAGGCAGCAGUCGGGAAUUUUGGGCAAUGGGCGAAAGCCUGACCCAGCAACGCCGCGUGAAGGAUGAAGUAUUUCGGUAUGUAAACUUCGAAAGAAUAGGAAGAAUCAAUGACGGUACUAUUUAUAAGGUCCGGCUAACUACGUGCCAGCAGCCGCGGUAAUACGUAGGGACCAAGCGUUGUUCGGAUUUACUGGGCGUAAAGGGCGCGUAGGCGGCAUGACAAGUCACUUGUGAAAUCUCCGGGCUUAACUCGGAACGGUCAAGUGAUACUGUCGCGCUAGAGUGCGGAAGGGGCAAUCAGAAUUCUUGGUGUAGCGGUGAAAUGCGUAGAUAUCAAGAGGAAUACCUGAGGUGAAGACGGGUUGCUAGGCCGACACUGACGCUGAAGCGCGAAAGCCAGGGGAGCAAACGGGAUUAGAUACCCCGGUAGUCCUGGCCCUAAACGAUGAAUACUUGGUGUCUGGAGUUUUUAGUGCUCCGGGUGCCGUCGCUAACGUUUUUAGUAUUCCGCCUGGGGAGUACGCUCGCAAGAGUGAAACUCAAGGAAUUGACGGGGACCCGCACAAGCGGUGGAGCAUGUGGUUUAAUUC